This 497-nucleotide ribosomal RNA is filed under the name uncultured bacterium. RNAcentral's name for it is "partial 16S ribosomal RNA". It matches the Rfam family "Bacterial small subunit ribosomal RNA", at positions 28 to 507 of the family's 1533-position model. The record is from RNAcentral.
GAUGAACGCUGGCGGCGUGCCUAAUACAUGCAAGUCGAGCGAACGGACGAGAAGCUUGCUUUUCUGAUGUUAGCGGCGGACGGGUGAGUAACACGUGGAUAACCUACCUAUAAGACUGGGAUAACUUCGGGAAACCGGAGCUAAUACCGGAUAAUAUUUUGAACCGCAUGGUUCAAAAGUGAAAGACGGUCUUGCUGUCACUUAUAGAUGGAUCCGCGCUGCAUUAGCUAGUUGGUAAGGUAACGGCUUACCAAGGCAACGAUGCAUAGCCGACCUGAGAGGGUGAUCGGCCACACUGGAACUGAGACACGGUCCAGACGCCUACGGGAGGCAGCAGUAGGGAAUCUUCCGCAAUGGGCGAAAGCCUGACGGAGCAACGCCGCGUGAGUGAUGAAGGUCUUCGGAUCGUAAAGCUCUGUUAUUAGGGAAGAACAGAUGUGUAAGUAACUGUGCACAUCUUGACGGUACCUAAUCAGAAAGCCACGGCUAACUACGUG